AUAAUAAAAGCAUGAGAACCCAUUGUCAAUAACAACAAUGUUACUUGAUUUUAUUUGGUUUAUCGGUUAAAUCUCGACAGGGCCAACAGCUUGCUGAUAUUUCAAAGCAUACUAUCAUUCCCAAUCACCAAAAUAAAAACUAAUUGAUAUUAACUUUGGUUAACUAGUUGACUGUCCAAAGAACAAAUGGGCCACCAACUUGUAUCUUUGCUUGACUGUUACAAACGCGGCUAACCAUUUCCUAUUCCUUUAAAUGCCGCUAAAUCUGACUUAUGCAUUUGCUUUUGCCAAAGUUGAAAUCAACUUAGCGUCAAAGCUAAAACCCUCAACAUUUAGGGUCAGUCUGCAAACGCACAACCAUCAACUAAAUCCCAAAUAAAAAGUAUUCAUUGAAGCGAUUCAAGUGAUAAAAGUGCUAUAGCUAGGAAACUGAGAAUCUACAGCUAACUCAAAAUCAUGCACACUAACAAAUCUACUAUACCUGGAG
This is a long non-coding RNA of Amblyraja radiata (thorny skate), 487 nucleotides long. RefSeq lists it as uncharacterized. The transcript is spliced from 3 exons. The record is from RefSeq and is a predicted model, not a curated record. NCBI's taxonomy places the organism in Eukaryota, Metazoa, Chordata, Chondrichthyes, Rajiformes, Rajidae.